This 30-nucleotide non-coding RNA is filed under the name Trichobilharzia regenti. Lineage: Eukaryota; Metazoa; Platyhelminthes; Trematoda; Strigeidida; Schistosomatidae. The record is from RNAcentral.
AUCCAGCUGAUGAGUCCCAAAUAGGACGAA